UGGGGAAUCAUGGUCAAUGGGCGAAAGCCUGAACCUGCGACGCCGCGUGAGUGAUGAAGGUCGUAAGAUCGUAAAACUCUUUUCAGGGAUCUUAAAGCCUGUCUGUCAACAACAGGCAGGUCUGACUCUCCCUAGAAGAAGCCCCAGCCAACUACGUGCCAGCAGCUGCGGUAAUACGUAGGGGGCGAGCGUUAUUCGGAAUUACUGGGUGUAAAGGGUAUGUAGGCGGCCCUUCAAGUCGCGUGUCAAAGUCCAGUGCUCAACGCUGGGUGUGCGCGCGAUACUGACGAGCUGGAGGGCUGGAGAGGUGAGCGGAAUUUCCGGUGUAGUGGUAAAAUACGGAGAGAUCGGGAGGAACACCAGCGGCGCAGGCGGCUCACUAGACAGUUUCUGACGCUAAGAUACGAAAGCGUGGGGAGCAAACA
This 425-nucleotide ribosomal RNA is filed under the name uncultured prokaryote. RNAcentral's name for it is "bacterial SSU rRNA". It matches the Rfam family "Bacterial small subunit ribosomal RNA", at positions 355 to 774 of the family's 1533-position model. The record is from RNAcentral.